Molecule: long non-coding RNA, 348 nt
Organism: Ornithodoros turicata
Lineage: Eukaryota; Metazoa; Arthropoda; Arachnida; Ixodida; Argasidae
Exons: 2
Source: RefSeq, a predicted model, not a curated record
UCAAGAUGGUUGCAGUAGCGGACUUGCGUGAGACUUCCAGAUGUUCACUGUUGUUGACGACGUAUAUCCUCUGCGGUAAAUUGUUCGGUAUAAGGACGUAUUCAGCAGAACAUUACACAGUCAUCAGCGUUCAGCUGUGGCGCCAGAACAUCUGCUCCGUGUGAAAGUUUAUUUGUAUUUGCGAGGUGCAUUAAGACUAUGCAAGGAAUGCUUUUUGGCUAACAACCUCGUUCCGACGGACGGGAACGUUGCUCUAGCAAUUAUCAGGUGGUACAGAAGUACCUUCUUUCGCUAGCGUGCACGCCAGAGCGGCUUCAAAUAAAUGAAAUAAAAUAUGAAACAUUUCUA